Long non-coding RNA from Herpailurus yagouaroundi (jaguarundi), 869 nucleotides. RefSeq lists it as uncharacterized. The record is from RefSeq and is a predicted model, not a curated record. NCBI's taxonomy places the organism in Eukaryota, Metazoa, Chordata, Mammalia, Carnivora, Felidae. The transcript is spliced from 2 exons.
AGGCAGGGUCUGGGGUCCCCGCGGGGUUCGGCUUUCCCGCCUCAGGCUUCCAGAGCGCCAACGACGCACUAGGCGCCCUGCAGCCGAAGUGGGCACCGCCUGUGCCGGGACAGCACGUGGGGCGCGCUUAUCAAAUGUUCACUUUUGUUACCUGCAUUCUUCCUAGUGCCAGCUCUGCCACCGAGUGGCCGUGGAGCAGCAAGUCUCUGCCCUUUACAGGGCCUCAGUUUCCCCUUUGUACCACAAAAGGAUUCACCAGAGUAACCUCACGCAUGUUGAGAAGCAUGUGCGGCACUUGGCCCGCGAUGGGGGCGGGGGGAGAUUUUCUCCCAGGUGCUGGGGUACGCCCAGCCUGGGACAGGAGCAGGCAGUUGUCCCCAGGCAAUUACGUAGGCUCUAGGCCACCUGUGAGGUUUGAACUCAUGACCCUGACAUCGAGUUGCAUAGUCCGCUGACUGAGCCAGCCAGAAAAGCGCCUGCCAUGAAUCCUUCUGAAAAGAUCACCAACACUUCCCGGAGAGAGUGGAGGCAACAAGACCACAUUGGGACUCUACCUUGAAAAGGAAACGAAAAAUGAUGAAGAAAGACUAGCUUCAACUCACUAACACUAUUUAGAUUAUGAUUGGAACCAUGCAGACAUUAGAAUGAAGAGUUGGUCCUUUACUGAAACAGGGUCAUUUUUGCAAAUAUAUUUGAGAGUUUCACGUGCAAAUGUUGCUCUGAAUCCUUUGGUAGUCUAACAAUUCUCUCUGGAAGGACGCGAUCAUUUCUCUUUAGCGAUGUUCUCUUCCUCUGUGGACAAUGCCUUCAUUUGUCCCAUGUCACUUUAACCAACUUCAUGAAGCCCUGCGCUUUUUGCAACAUUUGCA